AUUGAACGCUGGCGGCGUGCCUAACACAUGUAAGUCGAGCGGUAACAGGUGUAGCAAUACAUGCUGACGAGCGGCGAACGGGUGAGUAAUGCUUCGGGAAUCUACCCAAUGGUGGGGAAUAACCAGCCGAAAGGUUGGCUAAUACCGCAUACGUCCCACGGGAGAAAGCAGGGGAUCGCAAGACCUUGCGCCAAUGGAUGAGCCGAAGUCGGAUUAGCUAGUUGGUAGGGAACGGCCUACCAAGGCGACGAUCCGUAGCUGGUCUGAAAGGACGACCAGCCACACUGGGACUGAGACACGGCCCAGACUCCUACGGGAGGCAGCAGUGGGGAAUAUUGGACAAUGGGGGAACCCUGAUCCAGCGACGCCGCGUGUGU
RNAcentral lists this ribosomal RNA (377 nucleotides) under uncultured bacterium. RNAcentral's name for it is "bacterial SSU rRNA". It matches the Rfam family "Bacterial small subunit ribosomal RNA", at positions 30 to 406 of the family's 1533-position model. The record is from RNAcentral.